CCUACGGGGGGCUGCAGUGGGGAAUAUUGGACAAUGGGGGGAACCCUGAUCCAGCCAUGCCGCGUGUGUGAAGAAGGCCCUCGGGUUGUAAAGCACUUUCAGUGAGGAAGAACGCCUGGUGGUUAAUACCCAUCAGGAAAGACAUCACUCACAGAAGAAGCACCGGCUAACUCCGUGCCAGCAGCCGCGGUAAUACGGAGGGUGCGAGCGUUAAUCGGAAUUACUGGGCGUAAAGCGCGCGUAGGUGGCUUGAUAAGCCGGUUGUGAAAGCCCCGGGCUCAACCUGGGAACGGCAUCCGGAACUGUCAAGCUAGAGUGCAGGAGAGGAAGGUAGAGUUCCCGGUGUAGCGGUGAAAUGCGUAGAGAUCGGGAGGAAUACCAGUGGCGAAGGCGGCCUUCUGGACUGACACUGACACUGAGGUGCGAAAGCGUGGGUAGCAAACAGGAUUAGAUACCCCUGUAGUC
RNAcentral lists this ribosomal RNA (465 nucleotides) under Vreelandella stevensii. RNAcentral describes it as "partial 16S ribosomal RNA". It matches the Rfam family "Bacterial small subunit ribosomal RNA", at positions 338 to 795 of the family's 1533-position model. The record is from RNAcentral. Lineage: Bacteria; Pseudomonadati; Pseudomonadota; Gammaproteobacteria; Oceanospirillales; Halomonadaceae.